GGACGAACGCUGGCGGCGUGCCUAACACAUGCAAGUCGAGCGAGGAGAUUCCUCGGGAUGAUCCUAGCGGCGGACGGGUGAGUAACACGUGGGCAACCUGCCUCAUAGAGAGGAAUAGCCUUCUGAAAGGGAGAUUAAUACCUCAUAACAUUGCAGUUUCGCAUGGAACAGCAAUUAAAGGAGCAAUCCGCUAUGAGAUGGGCCCGCGGCGCAUUAGCUAGUUGGUGAGGUAACGGCUCACCAAGGCGACGAUGCGUAGCCGACCUGAGAGGGUGAUCGGCCACAUUGGGACUGAGACACGGCCCAGACUCCUACGGGAGGCAGCAGUGGGGAAUAUUGCACAAUGGGGGAAACCCUGAUGCAGCCAACGCCGCGUGAGUGAUGACGGCCUUCGGGUUGUAAAGCUCUGCCUUCAGGGACGAUAAUGACGGUACCUGAGGAGGAAGCCACGGCUAACUACGUGCCAGCAGCAGC
RNAcentral lists this ribosomal RNA (474 nucleotides) under uncultured bacterium. RNAcentral describes it as "bacterial SSU rRNA". It matches the Rfam family "Bacterial small subunit ribosomal RNA", at positions 27 to 518 of the family's 1533-position model. The record is from RNAcentral.